This 488-nucleotide ribosomal RNA is filed under the name uncultured bacterium. Its description in RNAcentral is "partial 16S ribosomal RNA". It matches the Rfam family "Bacterial small subunit ribosomal RNA", at positions 30 to 507 of the family's 1533-position model. The record is from RNAcentral.
AUUGAACGCUGGCGGCAUGCUUUACACAUGCAAGUCGAACGGCAGCACAGGGAGCUUGCUCCUGGGUGGCGAGUGGCGAACGGGUGAGUAAUGUAUCGGAACGUGCCUGGUAGUGGGGGAUAACUACCCGAAAGAGUGGCUAAUACCGCAUGAGAUCUUUGGAUGAAAGCGGGGGACCUUCGGGCCUCGUGCUACUGGAGCGGCCGAUAUCAGAUUAGGUUGUUGGUGGGGUAAAGGCCUACCAAGCCUGCGAUCUGUAGCUGGUCUGAGAGGACGACCAGCCACACUGGGACUGAGACACGGCCCAGACUCCUACGGGAGGCAGCAGUGGGGAAUUUUGGACAAUGGGCGCAAGCCUGAUCCAGCAAUGCCGCGUGCAGGACGAAGGCCUUCGGGUUGUAAACUGCUUUUGUACAGAACGAAAAGUCUCUGGCUAAUAUCUAGAGAUCAUGACGGUACUGUAAGAAUAAGCACCGGCUAACUACGUG